UGAACCGCCUCGCGCUGGGCUGCGCCACGUGUGUCUGGCGGAACCGGCUGAGCGGCGGAGCUUCGUGAUGGCCGUGAGCGUGGAUGGCAGGACGUUCGAGGGCUCCGGGCGCAGCAAGAAGCUGGCCCGGGGUCAGGCCGCGAGGCCGCUGCAGGCGCCGACAUCCAGAUGCCCGGCCACGCACCCGGCAGGGCCAGGAGGACGCCAAUGCCGCAGGAAUUCGCAGACUCCAUAUCCCAGCUGGUCACACAGAAGUUCCGCGAGGUGACGAUGGACCUCACGCCCAUGCACGCCCGCCACAAAGCUCUGGCAGGAAUCGUCAUGACCAAAGGUAGCCACCUCCUCUUUUCCUGUGGGCAUUUUCAUCUCUAAAGAAAGGAGCAUUAGCAUCUACCUGAUCUUGGAGGCCAAAAGGCUCUCUCUUCCACACCAAGCUGUGGCAAAGAAAGACAAAAUAUUAUAGGAUACACAGAGAUCAGUGGCCAGAGCGUAUUAGCAGGAAAAGCCAUCCUGACCAUGGUGCUGUGAUUAGGCUGCCAGGGCCCAGCUCUGCACAAACAUCCCCCAUCUCUGGGGGGCCUGGCCAGUCCCUUCCGGAGAACCCAAGUCUCCUGAGAGUCCUGAGUCCCUCUCGAUGGGGUGUAACCCACCCCGGAACGCUCUCAUUUCUGCCAAGAUUCCCCAUCCCAAACACCCAGGGAGUGAAUUCCACUCUAAGAAAUACGGGUGACCCAGCUGCGAGGGGCAUGCUGACAGCCAAGGAGGCGGCAUCUCCAGUCAGCCAGGAUGGGGAAAAUGAAUGAGGGCUAAAUUUGAUGAGUCAGCACUGUGGAAAUAACAAGCCACCAACCUAUUAAUAACAAGCCAGCGGGUUAUUUGAAUUCAACCAUUUCCAUUUCCAAAGUUUUUCACAACUGUGUAAUGACCUCCUUGUCACACUCAUUACACUCUCACACACUUGAGAGUCGUUACUGUAAAAUAGUAACUGACUUUUGGAUUAAGUUUCACACACACGCUUGCUCUGCAUGUGCCGGCAAAAUCUAAGGCGGAAAAAGACCAUCGACCUGACAUACAAACAUAUUUAUAUUGAAAAAUAAAGGACCAGAUGACUGGCAUGGUUCUCAACCAUGCUGGGCCGGCAGGGUCCUCUCCAAUCUUACUGGGUGUGGGAAUAUUGGAACCCAGCACCCAGUGCCAUGUCUUGGCUGUGUAAUCUUCCCAGUGUGGGCCUCCUGGUAAAAUGAAAAUGAAACUGCUUCCUCACAAUGUAACUGGGUGAGAUCUAGAAUAUGAGAUGCUUUGAAAGGUAAAGUCGUUUUAUAAAUAGAUCAUGCAGUAUAUAAAUAUACCAGACCCGCCCUGACCACCAGCACCUGCCCCACCUUUGAGACACAGACUACAUCUGCCUCUUUGUGGAAUUAGGAAUGUUCUAAAUUGAGGGCUAAGAGUUCACCUCCACCAAGCUCAUCCCUGCUGGAGGUGACCAUUCCUUCAUCCUCCAGCAUGCAGCCAUCAACUGGGCACCGCCAUACACUGGGCACUGCUCUGUAGGCCCACGGGGCUGCAAGGAAGAGACACGGCCCCCACUCAGGGUACAGCAGUCUCACUAAGGGAGCAGUGAGUUUGGCAGGCCAAAAGCAUCAUCCUAGCACAGAAUCCAGCCCCACCUGCACAGAGCUCUGCGACUCAUGGCCAGCCACUGAGCCUUGCUGGGACUCUGUUCUCUCACCUUUAAAAACAGGGAUAACAGCAACACCUACCUGAUCAGGUUAUUUUGAUGGCUAAAUGUGUUCAUGUAUUUCUAGCUCUUAGAAAGUUACCUAGCCCAUAGCAAGUACCAUGUAAGUGUUAGUUAAUUAUUGGUAAUGGCACUGUUUCAUUUACAAAUUAUUUAGUCAGUGCCUGGCAUACAAAGUUCUGGGGAAACAGCAGAGAACAAGAGACCAAACACUUACCCUUGUGGCUCUUAUAUUCCAGUGGGGAAUGGUUCUUAAAGAAUAAUUUAAAUCCAAUAUAGAAGAACUAUAAAAGAACUAUGUACACACAGAGUUGUUGGUCCAUAUAAACAAAACUUUGGUAAAUUUUAAAAUGUGGAGUGUUACAGAGAUUUCUGCUACAGGUUUCUAAAUAACUCAGUUUAAAUUAGUGUCCUGGUCUGAAAG
This is a long non-coding RNA of Macaca fascicularis (crab-eating macaque), 2162 nucleotides long. The record is from Ensembl. Lineage: Eukaryota; Metazoa; Chordata; Mammalia; Primates; Cercopithecidae.